RNAcentral lists this unclassified non-coding RNA (336 nucleotides) under soil metagenome. Its description in RNAcentral is "partial contains 5.8S ribosomal RNA, internal transcribed spacer 2, and large subunit ribosomal RNA". The stretch from base 1 to 120 matches the Rfam family "5.8S ribosomal RNA", at positions 35 to 154 of the family's 154-position model. The record is from RNAcentral.
GAUGAAGAACGUAGCGAAAUGCGAUAAGUAAUGUGAAUUGCAGAAUUCAGUGAAUCAUCGAAUCUUUGAACGCACAUUGCGCCCGCCAGUAUUCUGGCGGGCAUGCCUGUUCGAGCGUCAUUUCAACCAUCAAGCCCCCGGCUUGUGUUGGGGACCUGCGGCUGCCGCAGGCCCUGAAAAGCAGUGGCGGGCUCGCUGUCACACCGAGCGUAGUAGAUUUCAUCUCGCUCAGGGCGUGCUGCGGGUUCCGGCCGUUAAACCACCUUCAUAACCCAAGGUUGACCUCGGAUCAGGUAGGAAGACCCGCUGAACUUAAGCAUAUAAAUAAGCGGAGGA